Molecule: long non-coding RNA, 1110 nt
Filed under: Scleropages formosus (Asian bonytongue)
Lineage: Eukaryota; Metazoa; Chordata; Actinopteri; Osteoglossiformes; Osteoglossidae
Description: lncRNA (ENSSFOG00015031115.1)
Source: RNAcentral
AAAUCCUUAAGUGUCUUGUUCCCUAUGAGAGGUAAACAGUCAAAGAUAAUUACUUUUACUUUCAGAAAAGUAUUACUUUAAUAUACCUUGUACGAGUUAAAAAGAAAAAAAAACUAAAGUCAAAAGUUGGACUGUGUUCUAGACCACGAGUAAUGUUUGCAUCUUAUACAGAUUCAAGUCACGGAAAAUCUAUAUCGUGUAUCUUUUCAAUAAAUUACAUUUGGUGCUCCUCCAAAAAUUAGACACUGUCAAUAAGGCAGAUCGAAUUAAUAAAAAAUAAGACCAUAGUGGCUAGUUUCUUACAGCUAUAGGAGACAAAGAUGACAACACCUCACUCACACACACUAUCUGAAACCUCUCGUCCCAAGCAGGGGCGCAGAAAACCAGAGCCUAACCUGGCAACACUGGGCACAAGGCUGGAGGGGGAGGGGACACACCCAGGACAGGAUGCCCAUUCGUCACAAGGCACCCCAAGUGGGACUUGACCCCCAGACCCACUGGAGAGCAGGCACAGGCUAAACCUGCUGUGCUACUACACCACCCAACAACACAUCACCCACACUUUCUGAACCGCUUGUCCCAUAGGGGCUCACAGGGAACCGGAGCCUACCCAGCAACACAGGGCGUAAGGCCGGAGGGGACACACCCAGGACGGGACGCCAGUCCGUCACAAGGCACCCCAAGUGGGACUCGAACCCCAGACCCACUGGAGAGCAGGACCUGGUCCAACCCACUGCACCACCGCACCCCCAACAACAUAUCAUGUGAGGAAACAGAUGGCUUUUCCAUUUACCGAGAUGGAAGUUUUGACAAUUGCGUUUUCGCUUGUGGUGUUCAGUUUGUUCACGGCAAGCGGAAUGUUCAAAGAGAAAUGCGCGCAUAUCAAAGACAGAGAAAGCCAAAGCUGUGGUCUGGGCGAGGACCUGAUCCUGGUCUGACAUGCUAAUGAAGCCCAAAGCCGACAUCAGAAAGACAUUUUUAUCUGAACCUGUUUAUUUAUUUAUUUUGUUGGACACCUAAUUCACCUGGAAUCAUUUCACUGACAUUCAAAGUCUCCUUCUAUGAUACAUGAAGUUUCACAAUAAAAAAACCAUUAAAGAAAAAUGAACA